UACGUAGGGUGCGAGCGUUGUCCGGAAUUAUUGGGCGUAAAGAGCUCGUAGGCGGCGUGUCGCGUCGGCCGUGAAAACCUGGGGCUCAACUCUGGGCGUGCGGUCGAUACGGGCAUCACUUGAGUUCGGCAGGGGAGACUGGAAUUCCUGGUGUAGCGGUGAAAUGCGCAGAUAUCAGGAGGAACACCGGUGGCGAAGGCGGGUCUCUGGGCCGAUACUGACGCUGAGGAGCGAAAGCAUGGGUAGCGAACAGG
Molecule: ribosomal RNA, 254 nt
Filed under: uncultured bacterium
Lineage: Bacteria
Description: partial 16S ribosomal RNA
Rfam family: Bacterial small subunit ribosomal RNA
Source: RNAcentral